This 1319-nucleotide ribosomal RNA is filed under the name groundwater metagenome. Its description in RNAcentral is "bacterial LSU rRNA". It matches the Rfam family "Bacterial large subunit ribosomal RNA", at positions 1281 to 2502 of the family's 2925-position model. The record is from RNAcentral.
GGUACGAGUGAGAAUGCAGGCAUGAGUAGCGAAAGCAGGGUGAGAAACCCUGCCGCCGGAUGACCAAGGGUUCCAGGGCUAGGCUCAUCCGCCCUGGGUAAGUCGGGACCUAAGGCGAGGCCGACAGGCGUAGUCGAUGGACAACGGGUUGAUAUUCCCGUACCCGCGAAGAAGCGCCCAUGCUGAACCCUGCUGCGCUAACCGGGUCAACCAACACUUUCGGGUGCUGGGGCCCCCGGGAACCUGGCAGGUAGUAGGUAAGCGAUGGGGUGACGCAGGAGGGUAGCUGAUCCCGGCCGGUGGUAGUGCCGGGGUAAGCGUGUAGGCCGCAGCAUAGGCAAAUCCGUGCUGCACGAGGCUGAGACGUGAUGCCGAGCCGUAACAGGCGAAGUCAGUGAUCCCAUGCUGCCAAGAAAAGCCUCUAGCGAGCUUCGAGCGGCCCGUACCCCAAACCGACACAGGUGGUCAGGUAGAGAAUACCGAGGCGAUCGGGCGAACUGUGGUUAAGGAACUCGGCAAAUUGCCCCCGUAACUUCGGGAGAAGGGGGGCCAACGCUGGUGACACCCCUCGCGGGUCGAGCUGGCGGUGGCCGCAGAGAGCAGGGGGAAGCGACUGUUUACUAAAAACACAGGUCCAUGCUAAGUCGCAAGACGACGUAUAUGGACUGACGCCUGCCCGGUGCUGGAACGUUAAGGGGACCUGUUAGUCCGUGAGGGCGAAGCGGAGAACUUAAGCGCCAGUAAACGGCGGUGGUAACUAUAACCAUCCUAAGGUAGCGAAAUUCCUUGUCGGGUAAGUUCCGACCUGCACGAAUGGCGUAACGACUUCCCCACUGUCUCAACCACAGGCCCGGCGAAAUUGCACUACGAGUAAAGAUGCUCGUUACGCGCGGCAGGACGGAAAGACCCCGGGACCUUUACUACAGCUUGACAUUGGUAUCCGGAUCAACUUGUGUAGCAUAGGUGGGAGACUAUGAAGCUCGGACGCCAGUCCGGGUGGAGUCAACGUUGAAAUACCACUCUGGUUGUUCUAGGUAUCUAACGUCGGACCCUGAUCGGGUUCACGGACAGUGUCUGGUGGGUAGUUUAACUGGGGCGGUUGCCUCCUAAAAUGUAACGGAGGCGCCCAAAGGUUCCCUCAGCCUGGUCGGCAACCAGGUGGUGAGUGCAAGUACACAAGGGAGCUUGACUGUGAGACUGACAGGUCGAACAGGGACGAAAGUCGGGACUAGUGAUCCGGCGCUUGCGAGUGGAAGCGGUGCCGCUCAACGGAUAAAAGGUACCCCGGGGAUAACAGGCUGAUCUUGCCCAAGAGUCCA